Molecule: non-coding RNA, 24 nt
Filed under: Arabidopsis thaliana (thale cress)
Lineage: Eukaryota; Viridiplantae; Streptophyta; Magnoliopsida; Brassicales; Brassicaceae
Source: RNAcentral
UCGCAAAAUUUGCGAGGGAAUUGC